Long non-coding RNA from Gossypium arboreum, 698 nucleotides. RefSeq lists it as uncharacterized. The transcript is spliced from 2 exons. NCBI's taxonomy places the organism in Eukaryota, Viridiplantae, Streptophyta, Magnoliopsida, Malvales, Malvaceae. The record is from RefSeq and is a predicted model, not a curated record.
AAUUGAAAAAGAAAAAAAAAACAAAGCAAAGCAAAAAGGAAGUAGUUGAAGCCCCAUGCGAAUGCAAAGGACUUAGCGCGCAAAUUAACCAUUUGAAGCACCAAAGUGUGGAUCCAGCUAAUGGCACCGUUUUCAAUUCUGCACAAUCAAUUCUAAAAAACUAAAAUCCAAUAUACAGCCAUUUAAAUGCCAAUUAAAAAAAAAAAAAAAAAGAAAAAGACCUAUUCCCUCUUUUAUUUGCCGUUUCAACUUCACAUAAUGCUCUCAAUUUGGGAGGUUCCUUUCAACCUUGGAAUCUCCUUUGAUUUGAUUUCAACAAAACAAAGAGAAGAAAGCCAUGGCCUCUUCACACGGUGUGCAUGGCGUGGAGGAGUUAUUUGCGGAACAUGGCACGAGUGGAAGAAUCAACUAAAGGCUGCGGUGGCUGAAGCUUCUAAGGUUUCUGCUGAAAAUUCCCUAGGUGUUUUGGGCUUGGGGUAUUUUGGGUUAUUUAGGCUAGUUGGAUUAAGUUUAAUAAUUUGAACCCAUUAUUUUAGUUGCUGGACUAUGUAAGAAAUGGACAUUGGACUAUUAUUUAUAUAUUUUUUAGUUUUAUUUUUUUUGUUUUGGUUUUAGUGUAAGCCCGGGCACAAAUUGGGUCUUACAAUGACCAAUUGUAAAAUUGUAUAAGGUUAGAAACAUUUCAUUUUGUCAUCUCA